UACGGAGGAUGCGAGCGUUAUCCGGAUUUAUUGGGUUUAAAGGGUGCGUAGGCGGGUUAUCAAGUCAGCGGUAAAAUCGUGGAGCUCAACUCCAUCCAGCCGUUGAAACUGAUGAUCUUGAGUGGGCGAGAAGUAUGCGGAAUGCGUGGUGUAGCGGUGAAAUGCAUAGAUAUCACGCAGAACUCCGAUUGCGAAGGCGGCUUACUGGACGGCAACUGACGCUGAGGCUCGAAAGCGUGGGGAGCAAACAGG
RNAcentral lists this ribosomal RNA (252 nucleotides) under uncultured bacterium. RNAcentral describes it as "partial 16S ribosomal RNA". It matches the Rfam family "Bacterial small subunit ribosomal RNA", at positions 524 to 776 of the family's 1533-position model. The record is from RNAcentral.